CGUUAAGUUGCAGGGUAUAGACCCGAAACCCGGUGAUCUAGCCAUGGGCAGGUUGAAGGUUGGGUAACACUAACUGGAGGACCGAACCGACUAAUGUUGAAAAAUUAGCGGAUGACCUGUGGCUGGGGGUGAAAGGCCAAUCAAACCGGGAGAUAGCUGGUUCUCCCCGAAAGCUAUUUAGGUAGCGCCUCGUGAAUUCAUCUCCGGGGGUAGAGCACUGUUUCGGCUAGGGGGCCAUCCCGGCUUACCAACCCGAUGCAAACUGCGAAUACCGGAGAAUGUUAUCACGGGAGACACACGGCGGGUGCUAACGUCCGUCGUGAAGAGGGAAACAACCCAGACCGCCAGCUAAGGUCCCAAAGUCAUGGUUAAGUGGGAAACGAUGUGGGAAGGCCCAGACAGCCAGGAUGUUGGCUUAGAAGCAGCCAUCAUUUAAAGAAAGCGUAAUAGCUCACUGGUCGAGUCGGCCUGCGCGGAAGAUGUAACGGGGCUAAACCAUGCACCGAAGCUGCGGCAGCGACGUUUAUGCGUUGUUGGGUAGGGGAGCGUUCUGUAAGCCUGCGAAGGUGGCCUGUGAGGGUUGCUGGAGGUAUCAGAAGUGCGAAUGCUGACAUAAGUAACGAUAAAGCGGGUGAAAAGCCCGCUCGCCGGAAGACCAAGGGUUCCUGUCCAACGUUAAUCGGGGCAGGGUGAGUCGACCCCUAAGGCGAGGC
Molecule: ribosomal RNA, 713 nt
Filed under: Salmonella enterica
Lineage: Bacteria; Pseudomonadati; Pseudomonadota; Gammaproteobacteria; Enterobacterales; Enterobacteriaceae
Description: partial 23S ribosomal RNA
Rfam family: Bacterial large subunit ribosomal RNA
Source: RNAcentral